AGACGAACCGGGCGAACGUUAUUCGGAAUCACUGGGCUUAAAGCGUGCGUAGGCGGCUUGGCAAGUUGGGUGAGAAAGCCCUCGGCUCAACCGAGGAACUGCGCCCAAAACUGCCAGGCUUGAGGGAGAUAGAGGUGAGUGGAACUAAUGGUGGAGCGGUGAAAUGCUUUGAUAUCAUUAGGAACACCGGUGGCGAAAGCGGCUCACUGGGUCUCUUCUGACGCUGAGGCACGAAAGCUAGGGGAGCGAACGGGAUUAGAUACCCUAGUAGUCC
RNAcentral lists this ribosomal RNA (274 nucleotides) under uncultured bacterium. RNAcentral's name for it is "partial 16S ribosomal RNA". It matches the Rfam family "Bacterial small subunit ribosomal RNA", at positions 523 to 796 of the family's 1533-position model. The record is from RNAcentral.